Lolium perenne is the source of this 574-nucleotide long non-coding RNA. RefSeq lists it as uncharacterized. NCBI's taxonomy places the organism in Eukaryota, Viridiplantae, Streptophyta, Magnoliopsida, Poales, Poaceae. The record is from RefSeq and is a predicted model, not a curated record.
CGAAACCGAAGUCCCGUAUCCGGAAAGAAUUCAUUCCUAUAUAUGAAGAUGGAAAACUUGCGGAAGGUGCAUCUCAGAAGUCUCAGUGAAGAUGGUUAAACUCUUCUUGAGGCGUAUCUGAAAAGUCUCGGUGAAGAUGGUUGAACUCUUCUUGAGCUACAUGGAAAACAUGUCCUCUUUCUAUGAUGUUGACCUGGAUGAAAGCUGUCCUCUGCAUUUGCAAUCUGUGCUACAUGAUGAACAUGUUAUUUCUUUUUUGUUUGUUUAGUUUUGUGGAUGCUGAACAGAAACUUGAGAGAGAGGUUAUGUUCAGCUCGGUUAUGUAAGCAUGCAGAUACGUGUUGUCCAAGUGGCUCGGCGUUAGCCAGUGAUCGUAUCUAGUGUUAACCAUCGUCUUCCGACAGCAUUCAGUAACUGAAUGUGCGGAGUAUCGUCCAGAACCGCGUCGGAUUCUGCUGGCCUGAUUUUAUGUGUACUAAGCUUGUUCAGCUUAGCUCCCAGACUUUGAUAUUGAUCGCUUGAUGGAGGUCUGGCAAUCCAACUGAGAACCAUUUUGUUUGUGGUGAUGGUAUAA